Glycine soja is the source of this 2366-nucleotide long non-coding RNA. RefSeq lists it as uncharacterized. The transcript is spliced from 12 exons. Lineage: Eukaryota; Viridiplantae; Streptophyta; Magnoliopsida; Fabales; Fabaceae. The record is from RefSeq and is a predicted model, not a curated record.
UUCAUUAUAUUUUAAUUCCAUUAUUUUUUAUUUUCUAAGCUGAUAUACGACUUCUUGCAUUCACUUUCAGUUUCACUCCUUAGCCUGGUUAUAGGAGCUAGGGUUUAUCGAGGCUUUCGAUUCGUUCCUUCCUCGCUGCUACAACAAUGGCGAAACCUGGGCGAGGUCGUCGCUCUCCCUCCGGUUCCGUUUCCGGCCCCUCUUCCCCCUCCGACUCCCGUUCCUCCUCUCGCUCGCGCUCCCUUUCUCGGUCCCGUUCUCCCUCGCGCUCCAUAUCGUCUUCCCCCUCCUCCUCCUCUUCCUCCCGCAGCCGCAGCCCUCCCCCGCAGAGGCGCCGAAGAGUAUAGAGAUUGCGCCGAAGGUAUCGCUAUUUUAGAGAUUGCGCCGAAGCUCCCGCAGCUGCAGCCCUCCCCCGCAGAGAUCUCAUUUUAUGGUGGAAGAACUUCUAAAAUUAUAUGCAAGUGAGAAAUAUAUUCUCAUGGUGAAUCAGCAGCUGGAAGAUUUGAGAUUUUAUGUUUCUUUCAAGGUUGGAGCUACAAGUGUUUCAGUAUUGCAAAGUAUGUGGCAGACUUUCUGGCUAAGUGAGAACUGGGAUGGCUAACUUUUUGUGCACAAAUAAACAGCAAAAGCACACGACUCUUUUUGCAAUUGGAGGAGUACUAAAGUGAUACUAGUAUUUUUUUUUAUCACAUGGUGCAUGAUUUAACAGGAGUUUCACCCGGGGAAGGUAUGGGAGCAACAACGUCUGAUGACGAAGAUGAGCAAGUAGAUAGUGAUGCCAAUCUGUUUGAUGGUGCUUUGGAUGGUCCUGAUAGCAUGGGAUUCGGUCCUCUUAUUCCCACAGAGAAUGAGAGGUCCCUCAUGGAACGUGUAAGACAUGAAGUAAAGCACGAAUUGAAACAGGGUUAUAAAGAGAAAAUUGUGGACAUAAGAGAGGAAAUUUUAUGCAAGAGAUGAGUUGGGAAACUUCCUGGUGACACGACCUCUGUCCUUAAAGCUUGGUGGCAAUCACAUUCCAAGUGGCCUUACCCUACAUUUUAGGUGGCUACGAAGCUGAGUCAAAUAAAGUUGCAGGGAAUGCCAUUUUAUAUGAAUGUGUUCAAACAAUAAUGAGCAUUGAAGAUAAUGGUGGCUUACAUGUACUUGCCAUUAAUAUCCUGAGAAGAUUCUUGUCAAACCGUGACAACAAUAUCAGAAUAUCCAGAUUUUGUCAGAUGCCCGCAAAUCAGUAUUUUGACUGAUAUUAACUCAAUAUGAAGAGAGUAAUCUCUUUUUGUAGUUGUGUUUCGUGCGUUUUUACUGGCUGCUGGAAUCCCCAACGAGGAUGUUCUCCUACGGAAGAAAAGGGCUAGGAUUCUAAAGCCAGCUUUAACAGUUAUACGGGAUAAAGAAUCAAAAUGCUUGCUUGUGUUCAUCCGUGGAACUCAAAGCUUAAAAUACACACUGACAGAUGCAAUCGGUGCUCCCGUGUCCUUCAAUCAUUUCAUUUGCAACGAUGAUGGUGAGCUGAAGAGGAACAACAAGGUUGCAGGACAUGGACACCGUGGUAUGGUUGCUGCAGCUCGUUGGAUUAAGAAGCACUGCACCACUAUACUACUUGAAGAUCUUCGUCGACACCCCCCGAUUUCCAAAUCAAGCUGCCUCCGUAUCAUUGGAGUUAUCAGAAUUCGGGAAGCCCUUUAUCACUUCCAUUAUAAAUGAUUCGGACAUAGUGCCUACAUUGUCAGCUUAUUCUAUUCAUGAUUUCAUUUCUGAGGUGGAGUUCCAAAUCUGGCCAUGGUUGAGAGUGUGGACAAUCAGAAGGUAGCAAAUCAUCUUGACCGUAUGGUAUCAACCCUUGGAAGAAAUCCUCUGAAGGUUUUGGUGCAAGUAAAUUCGAGUGGAGAAGAAUCCAAAUCUGGUAUUGAUCCUUCCAACUGUGUUGACUUAAUCAAUACAAAAAGAUGCGAGACACAAAACGAAAAGAAGAAAAUAAUUGAAAAGUGCUACAAGAAGUUCAUGAUUUACUCUUUAACCCAACCAAUCCAGAAGCUAGUAGGAAUUUCAACAAAGCACAACAACAUCAGGACCCUACUGGUCUUGCAUGCAGCCAAGAAAGGUACUUACAGGUGAUCGUUAUUGUGCCACAUGAACUAAACAGAUCUCGUAGUUAUUUAUCAGUAGCAUCAUCAUCAAAGUUCUUUACAUGAAAGUUUGAUGAUGAUGUUACCGAUAAUGAGCUACGAGAGUGUUUUUAGCCGUCGCUGCAAAUUUUCUCAACUCCAGAAUUGCUUCCCUUUGAUCUGAACCUUUCCAAUUUCGGAAUCAUCAUUUUCUGAACACCAAUUGAUACCAAGAAAGAAAAAAAGAAAGAAAGAAAGAAAGAA